UUGAGGUGCCUGAGGUACUCUCUUUACUGUACAGUAUCUUCCGAACUGGUAUAGCAUGGGCAGUAGCAGUGCAAGUACCCUACAUUGCCCAUCAAGGGGCAGCCCUGACCUGGAGGACCAUAUUUAGGGCUGACAGAGGUUGAGAUUCCAUGCCCAUUUGAACUGUGGUGAUU
This 173-nucleotide small RNA is filed under the name Gopherus agassizii (Agassiz's desert tortoise). RNAcentral describes it as "TUC338 (ENSGAGG00000012800.1)". The record is from RNAcentral. Lineage: Eukaryota; Metazoa; Chordata; Testudines; Testudinidae.